UACGUAGGGGGCUAGCGUUGUCCGGAAUCAUUGGGCGUAAAGCGCGUGUAGGCGGUCCGGUAAGUCCGCUGUGAAAGUCGGGGGCUCAACCCUCGGAUGCCGGUGGAUACUGUCGGGCUUGAGUACGGAAGAGGCGAGUGGAAUUCCCGGUGUAGCGGUGAAAUGCGCAGAUAUCGGGAGGAACACCAAUGGCGAAGGCAGCUCGCUGGGACGGUACUGACGCUGAGACGCGAAAGCGUGGGGAGCAAACAGG
RNAcentral lists this ribosomal RNA (253 nucleotides) under uncultured bacterium. RNAcentral's name for it is "partial 16S ribosomal RNA". It matches the Rfam family "Bacterial small subunit ribosomal RNA", at positions 524 to 776 of the family's 1533-position model. The record is from RNAcentral.